AGCAAUACAAGAGGAGCCUUGUCAGCCUUUCUUUUCCUGCUGGUGCUCGUACUCUCUGUGGCCGUCUUCGAUUCCUACAAUGGCAGUGGAACAAGUUCCUCCGAACUCUCUUUCUUUCAUCUCUUCCCUGUAACCAUGUCUGCCCCCGCUCCCACUGAUUCUGCUCCUGCACCCAUGCCUGUCCCUCACGCUGACUUUGCCCCUGCACCGAUGCCUGCGGCUCCCAUCGAGUCUGCCCCUGCAACGCCCAACGACACACUUAGCACCGUUUCGAAUGCUUCGGUGAUACAAGGAAGAAGAAAGGCAGCGGUGUUGAGACGCGGAGGUGGGAGAAGAUGGAGGAGGGUCUUGCCAGGUCGAGGGCGGCCAUUAGAAGGGGUGUUAUGGCGAGAAUCUACACUUCUUGAAUUCGCCUGAGCUUCGUGCCGAGGGGGAACAUCUACCACAAUUCUUACGCAUUUCAUCAGUAAAUCAACUUUGUAUUUGCCUUCUUUUACAGAAAGUAAAAAGAACUAGUGAUCAAGCUUCCUAGGAGUUGAUCAGUCCUUGAUCACUUCAAGAAUAUUUUAACAACGAGCUUAUAAUUUGUAGAUGGCAUUUGAAUCCUGUUACUGAUCAGAUGUGAAAAUGGUAGUUAUUAUAGUCAUAGAUCUAGUUACUGACCAGCCAUGCCUAGUUUAAACAGGAGCUAUAUAGAGAUGGAGAAGAGGCUGAAGAUAUGGAUCAAUAGGGAAGAGGGCUCGCCCAUUUUCCAUGACGGGGCUAGCAUGGGAGUGUACUCGAUUGAGGGCCAUUUCAUCCAAGAGAUGGACAAGCAGAGGCUGCCCUUUAUCACCAGUGAUACAGAGCAGGCCUUGCUCUACUUCCUCCCUUUCAGUGUUCAAAGAAUGAGAAGGUUUGUCGCAUCCAAGGCCGGUGUUGUGGAUCUUCACCGAAUGUGGGCAGUCAUCAGUGACUACAUCCAAGUGAUAGCAAACAAGUACCCAUAUUGGAACAGCACAAAUGGUGCAUGUCAUUUCAUGGUCACCUGCCAUGACUGGGAGGCAACCAUGGAUCCGUCAGAAAGUUCCUCUUAGAACAGUGGGAUGGCAAGGACCCCCAAAUUCAAAUCUUUCAACGCUUGCCAAGAGGCUAAAGCUACAAGGAGCACAUGAUGAACGCCAAGUACUGCCUCUGCCCAAGUGGGUAUGAAGUCACCAGUCCCAGGCUCACUGAAUCCAUACUAGCUGGUUGUGUGCCAGUACCGAUUUCCGAUGGCUACGUGCUCCCCUUUAGUGAUGUUCUAGAUUGGUCUCAGUUUUCAGUUCCAAUUCCAGUUCAAAAGAUACCCGAACUUAAAAGAGAUUCCGAUUAACAUUCCUGAACAUUCAUAC
Long non-coding RNA from Nymphaea colorata (pocket water lily), 1373 nucleotides. RefSeq lists it as uncharacterized. The transcript has 3 exons. The record is from RefSeq and is a predicted model, not a curated record. Lineage: Eukaryota; Viridiplantae; Streptophyta; Magnoliopsida; Nymphaeales; Nymphaeaceae.